CGGACGGGUGAGUAACGCGUGGAUAACCUGCCGUAUACCGGGGGAUAACACUUAGAAAUAGGUGCUAAUACCGCAUAAGCGCACGGCUCCGCAUGGGCAGUGUGAAAAACUCCGGUGGUAUACGAUGGAUCCGCGUCUGAUUAGCUAGUUGGCGGGGUAACGGCCCACCAAGGCAGCGAUCAGUAGCCGGCCUGAGAGGGUGGACGGCCACAUUGGGACUGAGACACGGCCCAAACUCCUACGGGAGGCAGCAG
RNAcentral lists this ribosomal RNA (254 nucleotides) under uncultured bacterium. RNAcentral's name for it is "partial 16S ribosomal RNA". It matches the Rfam family "Bacterial small subunit ribosomal RNA", at positions 99 to 354 of the family's 1533-position model. The record is from RNAcentral.